Molecule: ribosomal RNA, 2259 nt
Filed under: Salmonella enterica
Lineage: Bacteria; Pseudomonadati; Pseudomonadota; Gammaproteobacteria; Enterobacterales; Enterobacteriaceae
Also listed under: 3 other names
Description: partial 23S ribosomal RNA
Rfam family: Bacterial large subunit ribosomal RNA
Source: RNAcentral
GGGCGUUAAGUUGCAGGGUAUAGACCCGAAACCCGGUGAUCUAGCCAUGGGCAGGUUGAAGGUUGGGUAACACUAACUGGAGGACCGAACCGACUAAUGUUGAAAAAUUAGCGGAUGACCUGUGGCUGGGGGUGAAAGGCCAAUCAAACCGGGAGAUAGCUGGUUCUCCCCGAAAGCUAUUUAGGUAGCGCCUCGUGAAUUCAUCUCCGGGGGUAGAGCACUGUUUCGGCUAGGGGGCCAUCCCGGCUUACCAACCCGAUGCAAACUGCGAAUACCGGAGAAUGUUAUCACGGGAGACACACGGCGGGUGCUAACGUCCGUCGUGAAGAGGGAAACAACCCAGACCGCCAGCUAAGGUCCCAAAGUCAUGGUUAAGUGGGAAACGAUGUGGGAAGGCCCAGACAGCCAGGAUGUUGGCUUAGAAGCAGCCAUCAUUUAAAGAAAGCGUAAUAGCUCACUGGUCGAGUCGGCCUGCGCGGAAGAUGUAACGGGGCUAAACCAUGCACCGAAGCUGCGGCAGCGACACUGUGUGUUGUUGGGUAGGGGAGCGUUCUGUAAGCCUGUGAAGGUGUGUCGUGAGGCAUGCUGGAGGUAUCAGAAGUGCGAAUGCUGACAUAAGUAACGAUAAAGCGGGUGAAAAGCCCGCUCGCCGGAAGACCAAGGGUUCCUGUCCAACGUUAAUCGGGGCAGGGUGAGUCGACCCCUAAGGCGAGGCCGAAAGGCGUAGUCGAUGGGAAACGGGUUAAUAUUCCCGUACUUGGUGUUACUGCGAAGGGGGGACGGAGAAGGCUAUGUUGGCCGGGCGACGGUUGUCCCGGUUUAAGCGUGUAGGUGUGUGUUCCAGGUAAAUCCGGUUCACUUUAACACUGAGGCGUGACGACGAGGCACUACGGUGCUGAAGCAACAAAUGCCCUGCUUCCAGGAAAAGCCUCUAAGCAUCAGGUAACAUCAAAUCGUACCCCAAACCGACACAGGUGGUCAGGUAGAGAAUACCAAGGCGCUUGAGAGAACUCGGGUGAAGGAACUAGGCAAAAUGGUGCCGUAACUUCGGGAGAAGGCACGCUGACACGUAGGUGAAGUGAUUUACUCAUGGAGCUGAAGUCAGUCGAAGAUACCAGCUGGCUGCAACUGUUUAUUAAAAACACAGCACUGUGCAAACACGAAAGUGGACGUAUACGGUGUGACGCCUGCCCGGUGCCGGAAGGUUAAUUGAUGGGGUCAGCGCAAGCGAAGCUCCUGAUCGAAGCCCCGGUAAACGGCGGCCGUAACUAUAACGGUCCUAAGGUAGCGAAAUUCCUUGUCGGGUAAGUUCCGACCUGCACGAAUGGCGUAAUGAUGGCCAGGCUGUCUCCACCCGAGACUCAGUGAAAUUGAACUCGCUGUGAAGAUGCAGUGUACCCGCGGCAAGACGGAAAGACCCCGUGAACCUUUACUAUAGCUUGACACUGAACAUUGAGCCUUGAUGUGUAGGAUAGGUGGGAGGCUUUGAAGUGUGGACGCCAGUCUGCAUGGAGCCGACCUUGAAAUACCACCCUUUAAUGUUUGAUGUUCUAACGUGGACCCGUUACCCGGGUUGCGGACAGUGUCUGGUGGGUAGUUUGACUGGGGCGGUCUCCUCCUAAAGAGUAACGGAGGAGCACGAAGGUUGGCUAAUCCUGGUCGGACAUCAGGAGGUUAGUGCAAUGGCAUAAGCCAGCUUGACUGCGAGCGUGACGGCGCGAGCAGGUGCGAAAGCAGGUCAUAGUGAUCCGGUGGUUCUGAAUGGAAGGGCCAUCGCUCAACGGAUAAAAGGUACUCCGGGGAUAACAGGCUGAUACCGCCCAAGAGUUCAUAUCGACGGCGGUGUUUGGCACCUCGAUGUCGGCUCAUCACAUCCUGGGGCUGAAGUAGGUCCCAAGGGUAUGGCUGUUCGCCAUUUAAAGUGGUACGCGAGCUGGGUUUAGAACGUCGUGAGACAGUUCGGUCCCUAUCUGCCGUGGGCGCUGGAGAACUGAGGGGGGCUGCUCCUAGUACGAGAGGACCGGAGUGGACGCAUCACUGGUGUUCGGGUUGUCAUGCCAAUGGCACUGCCCGGUAGCUAAAUGCGGAAGAGAUAAGUGCUGAAAGCAUCUAAGCACGAAACUUGCCCCGAGAUGAGUUCUCCCUGAGACUUAGAGUCUCCUGAAGGAACGUUGAAGACGACGACGUUGAUAGGCCGGGUGUGUAAGCGCAGCGAUGCGUUGAGCUAACCGGUACUAAUGAACCGUGAGGCUUAACCUU